Mustela lutreola (European mink) is the source of this 2406-nucleotide RNA transcript. It is a transcript of the gene named ER membrane associated RNA degradation, with no coding region annotated. NCBI's taxonomy places the organism in Eukaryota, Metazoa, Chordata, Mammalia, Carnivora, Mustelidae. The transcript has 19 exons. The record is from RefSeq and is a predicted model, not a curated record.
CGCCCGGAAUCGGAAGGGACGGGGGCGGAGCGGCCCGGGAGGCGCGGUGGGGCGCGCGCGGCGGCCCCGCGGGCUCUGCGCCUCCGGCGAGUCUGCGCCUGCGCGGCCGGGCGCCCGACCCUGACCCGCGGGACGCGCCCCGUGGGAGGCGACGGGAUGGCGUUUCUCCGGGAGCUGAAGGCCGCGGGGACCCGGCGAAGCGCGUUCGCUGCCGCCCGGGGGGGAUGAGCGUCGCUCCGCGGCGGCCGCUGCCUGCGUCCCGGGGCCGCGCCGUGUCGGGGUCCGUCCCGCGUGACCCCCGCCUGGGUGCAGGUCGCGGGGCGGCUCUUGCGGGGAUGCUGAUAGAGGAUCCCAUGGCCACUUGUCUCUCUCCCCCAGUCUACGAUAUGAUCUGUAAACUGGGGUUUGAAGUCAGAGAAACUUGGGACAUCGAUUGCAUUGUGACGCAGAGGGGGCACGUGUGCUGGCCGACCAUCACAGCCCGUGUGGCGUAUACACGAUCAGGUCUGUGUGCUCUCGGCUCCCCAAGCACAGCCCAGAGUCUGGAUUACCGGGGCAGCGUGCGGCUGUUGGGCCCUGUGUGUGAGGCCGUCCACUCACAUUUGUUAUCUCUGACCAAGGGACAAUUUGAGAUUCGAUACGUGCCGUGGCUGCAGUGGACAGCUUUUCCAGAGUUAUUUCCUGAAAUAUUUGCUGCUUUGGAAAGCCUCCACGGUCCCGCCAUCUCUCUCGGCUUAAUGAAACUGACGGCGUGUCUCGAACGGGCUUUGGGAGAUGUGCUCGUCCUGCUCGGGAAGGACUGCCCCUUCCUUCUGCGAGACCUGCUUGCAUCUGAGGAGCUUGCUGAGGUCUUCGGGCGGCCUGUGAUGGACGUGCUGAAGGUCUUCGUCGGAUCCCCGUCUGGACUCAACUUGCGGAACGUCCUGUGGCAUGGAUUUGCCUCCCCUCAUGAGAUCCCCCCAAAGUACUGUUCAAUGAUGGUGCUCUUGACGGCGGGGCUGGGCCAGCUGCUGAAGACGUACUUGGAGCAAACGAAACUUGUGCUGGCACACCGACCUUCCGUAGCUCUCGCAAACCUGGAGGAGGCGGCUGUUUUCCCCGACGUUACUCCCGCGGUACUUGGCCUGUUAGAAGACGUGAUGAGGAACUCGGCUUUCAUACGGAAGGUCAUGAUGCCGUACUGGGAAGCUGCGUUACUCGGCUUCCGGUCACACAGGUUUGCGGACUGUGCCAUGUUGCUACUGACGCAGCUGGAGGCGGGACUUAGGAGCGUUUUUGCCACCGUUAACCAGUGUCCGAGAAGACUUCUGACCGCUGAGUCCACGGCUCUUUACACCACCUUUGAUGAAAUAUUGGCAAAAGACUUGAACGACGGUAAAAUCAAUCAGCUUCCUCUUUUCCUUGGCGAGCCUGCGAUGGAGUUUCUUUGGGAUUUCUUGAACCAUCAGGAGGGCCCUCGUAUAAGAGACCGUUUAAGCCAUGGGGAAAUCAACUUAUCUGAAUUUCCAAAAGAAGUGGCAAAUCAGUUGCUUGCAUUUUCUGGGGUCCUUUUACUCAGAUUUGUUGAUGAAGAUCUGUCGGCAGCCUUCAAGGAAGAAGCGGCGAUCGGAUCCCUGGCUGCUCUCGCGGAUGGCUACAGCGCUCACUUCCACCCAGUUUCUCAGCUGAAAAAACAGGUGCUGAGCUGUGAGGAGAGCAUCCGAGUUUGGCCUCUCCCGCCUUUGCCUGAAGUGGCCUCCAGAUCAGUGGCUACUUCCGAAACUCAUGCCUGUGAGGCUUUCAUCACCGAAAUCCUGCCAGAGCUGCUCUGCCAUCUGCCCGAGCGCUCCGGCCUUGUCAGCGGCUGUGAUGGUCUCCCUGCUGGGAGGUGGCCUGAGGCAAUCCAGGAACUCUGCGGCACCCGCAUCCGGACUCUGUUCUGUCCCAGAACCGUCCUGGAAGUGGUCACUGUGCUCCGAAGCAUCAGUGCCUGCUGCGCCUGCGUGUCCCGCCAGGUCGCUGCCUCGGCGGAGCUGAGACACCAGCAGUGGGUGGAAAGGAGGCUGCGCUCACGGCAGAGGCAGACCUACCUGCACAUGGUCAGCAGGUUCGACGCCGCCGCCGGUUAUGUUACGUCCUUCCCGAAGUGGUGUAUUUCAAAACAAAAUCUCCACGGGUUCAUGAGCGAGAUAGUAUCUUACUUUGAUUGGAAUGUCUUUGUGUCCUGGACACACUGAACACGUUUCCACGUUUGAACCAUUUGUGUGUUUCUUCCUGUGAGAGCCCUUGACCAAUGUUAAGCUUCUGUCCCCUGUGCUUCACUUGAUUUUAUUGCUGAUUGCCCUGGAGCUGGUCAACAUUCACAUGGUUUGUGGAAAAAAUCCCUGUGAAUAUCAACAGUAUCUAAAGUUCUUGAAGUCCAUCUUG